Vidua macroura (Pin-tailed whydah) is the source of this 237-nucleotide long non-coding RNA. RefSeq lists it as uncharacterized. The record is from RefSeq and is a predicted model, not a curated record. NCBI's taxonomy places the organism in Eukaryota, Metazoa, Chordata, Aves, Passeriformes, Viduidae. The transcript is spliced from 3 exons.
CCAGCACUAUGCCGUGGGUCUGCUGGCCAGGGAGAUGUGCAAUGUCUUGGUCCCCUUCUGUUCCUGCAUCACGCUCCACUUGCUCCGGCAGCUCAGCAGGGAGGAGCUGUGCUGGGAUCUGCCUGCCCUGGCAUUCCUUGUGGAGGUCCUCGAGUGCCUGGACACGACUAAAUGUGGUGACAGCAUGCUGGAGAUUAUGUCAAGGCACCUGCAGAGCGAGUGCAGGGAGCGGCGUCC